UCGGGAAUUUUGGGCAAUGGGGGAAACCCUGACCCAGCAACGCCGCGUGAAGGAUGAAGUAUUUCGGUAUGUAAACUUCGAAAGAAUAGGAAGAAUAAAUGACGGUACUAUUUAUAAGGUCCGGCUAACUACGUGCCAGCAGCCGCGGUAAUACGUAGGGACCAAGCGUUGUUCGGAUUUACUGGGCGUAAAGGGCGCGUAGGCGGCAUGACAAGUCACUUGUGAAAUCUCUGGGCUUAACCCAGAACGGCCAAGUGAUACUGUCGCGCUAGAGUGCAGAAGGGGCAAUCGGAAUUCUUGGUGUAGCGGUGAAAUGCGUAGAUAUCAAGAGGAACACCUGAGGUGAAGACGGGUUAGCUGGGCUGACACUGACGCUGAGGCGCGAAAGCCAGGGGAGCAAACGGGAUUAGAUACCCCCGUAGUCCCUGAGCGGGCUGGCAAGGCGCAU
RNAcentral lists this ribosomal RNA (448 nucleotides) under uncultured bacterium. Its description in RNAcentral is "bacterial SSU rRNA". It matches the Rfam family "Bacterial small subunit ribosomal RNA", at positions 355 to 825 of the family's 1533-position model. The record is from RNAcentral.